AUUCGGUUGCCGAGGCUCAUUGAGUCCAUCACUGGUGGCCCAAGUAAUCGACCCGUGCCUUUUGACUCACCAUUCUCUCGCUCUCGGUUUCUUCAAUUGGGCCUCACAGCAACCUGGAUUUGCUCACACAUCGAUCACCUACCAAUCAAUCCUCAAAUCUCUCUCCCUUUCUCGUCAAUUCAAUUCCAUCGAGUCUGUCUUAAAACAAGCUAAAGCCCAGAAAUUGUCUCUCGAUUCUUCAACUCAUCGCUUUGUUAUUAAUUCUUUAAUCAAAGGGAAGAAGAUCCAGAAUGCUUUUUUAGUUUUUGGGGAGGUUAAAUCUCAAAUUUUAGAUAUUGGGUCUCAGACGUGUAACUUGCUUUUAGCUAAUCUGGCUUCUAAUGGGUGUUUUGAUAAUGCGUUAAAGGUGUUUGAUGAAAUGUCUAUGCGUGGUGUUGCUUUUAGCACUGUUGGGUUAGGCGUGUUUAUAUGGAGGUUUUGUAGGGAGGCUGAUUUGGGUAAAGUUAUGAGUAUGUUAGAUCAAGUUAAAAGGGGCAGUUCGUGAAAAUAAAUUUUUUCCUACUUUUUAAAAUAAAAUUUUUCCUACUUUUUAAAAUUUGCUUUCAGUCAAAUAAAUAUAUAUCAGAAAGGAAAUUUGGUAUUUGUAUAAAAUAUCUGACUGAAAAUAAAUUUUAUAAAGUAAGAUUUAGUAUUUAAGAUGAUUCUAAAAAAUAAUAAAAAAAAGUUGCAGAGGGCAAAAGAGGAGAGAAAAUUUCAUUAUUCUCAAAAAAAAAAAAAAAUCAUAAAUUUUAUAUUUUCAUUAAUGUAAGUCAUUAGAAUGGAGAGAUUUUGAUUAAUAGAUUAGCUUUUUAUUAAAUUUAAUUGUAAAUAAAUAUGAAAAAAAAAUUCCUAAAAGCUUGCCUUAAUGUAUAUUUGAUUAUCUGAUGUCUACUAUUUCAAAAUUGACAGUUUUACUUAUUCAUUACACUACCAUUUGGUGAAGAAGAUUAAGAAUUUGAGAGAUUUAAACAGUGCGUUUUGCAAGGGGCGUGUUCUUUUCAACUUUACAAACCGUUUGCUAGUCAUGCGCUUCUUCUAUUUCUUCCUCAAUGAGACCUGUUGCAGCCGAGUUAGCAACUCGGAUAAGCCAAGCUCUGAUCUCCGCGUCAAAUAACACAAUCCCAACUCGGUCAUGGACGCCAUCACUCGAACCAAUUCUACACAAAUUCGGUUGCCGAGGCUCAUUGAGUCCAUCACUGGUGGCCCAAGUAAUCGACCCGUGCCUUUUGACUCACCAUUCUCUCGCUCUCGGUUUCUUCAAUUGGGCCUCACAGCAACCUGGAUUUGCUCACACAUCGAUCACCUACCAAUCAAUCCUCAAAUCUCUCUCCCUUUCUCGUCAAUUCAAUUCCAUCGAGUCUGUCUUAAAACAAGCUAAAGCCCAGAAAUUGUCUCUCGAUUCUUCAACUCAUCGCUUUGUUAUUAA
RNAcentral lists this long non-coding RNA (1465 nucleotides) under Jatropha curcas. RNAcentral describes it as "long non-coding RNA (JCUR_LNC000821)". The record is from RNAcentral. Lineage: Eukaryota; Viridiplantae; Streptophyta; Magnoliopsida; Malpighiales; Euphorbiaceae.